UGGGGAAUAUUGCACAAUGGGCGAAAGCCUGAUGCAGCAACGCCGCGCGAGUGAUGAAGGUCUUCGGAUUGUAAAGCUCUGUCUUUUGGGACGAUAAUGACGGUACCAAAGGAGGAAGCCACGGCUAACUACGUGCCAGCAGCCGCGGUAAUACGUAGGUGGCGAGCGUUGUCCGGAUUUACUGGGCGUAAAGGGUGCGUAGGCGGAUGUUUAAGUGAGAUGUGAAAUACCCGGGCUUAACUUGGGUGCUGCAUUUCAAACUGGAUAUCUAGAGUGCAGGAGAGGAGAAUGGAAUUCCUAGUGUAGCGGUGAAAUGCGUAGAGAUUAGGAAGAACACCAGUGGCGAAGGCGAUUCUCUGGACUGUAACUGACGCUGAGGCACGAAAGCGUGGGUAGCAAACAGGAUUAGAUACCCUGGUAGUCCACGCCGUAAACGAUGAGUACUAGGUGUAGGAGGUAUCGACCCCUUCUGUGCCGCAGUAAACACAUUAAGUACUCCGCCUGGGAAGUACGAUCGCAAGAUUAAAACUCUAAAGUGAAUUGACGGGGUC
RNAcentral lists this ribosomal RNA (551 nucleotides) under uncultured bacterium. RNAcentral's name for it is "partial 16S ribosomal RNA". It matches the Rfam family "Bacterial small subunit ribosomal RNA", at positions 355 to 920 of the family's 1533-position model. The record is from RNAcentral.